CGGAGCUUGCUCCACCGGAAAAAGAAGAGUGGCGAACGGGUGAGUAACACGUGGGUAACCUGCCCAUCAGAAGGGGAUAACACUUGGAAACAGGUGCUAAUACCGUAUAACAAUCAAAACCGCAUGGUUUUGAUUUGAAAGGCGCUUUCGGGUGUCGCUGAUGGAUGGACCCGCGGUGCAUUAGCUAGUUGGUGAGGUAACGGCUCACCAAGGCCACGAUGCAUAGCCGACCUGAGAGGGUGAUCGGCCACAUUGGGACUGAGACACGGCCCAAACUCCUACGGGAGGCAGCAGUAGGGAAUCUUCGGCAAUGGACGAAAGUCUGACCGAGCAACGCCGCGUGAGUGAAGAAGGUUUUCGGAUCGUAAAACUCUGUUGUUAGAGAAGAACAAGGAUGAGAGUAACUGUUCAUCCCUUGACGGUAUCUAACCAGAAAGCCACGGCUAACUACGUGCCAGCAGCCGCGGUAAUACGUAGGUGGCAAGCGUUGUCCGGAUUUAUUGGGCGUAAAGCGAGCGCAGGCGGUUUCUUAAGUCUGAUGUGAAAGCCCCCGGCUCAACCGGGGAGGGUCAUUGGAAACUGGGAGACUUGAGUGCAGAAGAGGAGAGUGGAAUUCCAUGUGUAGCGGUGAAAUGCGUAGAUAUAUGGAGGAACACCAGUGGCGAAGGCGGCUCUCUGGUCUGUAACUGACGCUGAGGCUCGAAAGCGUGGGGAGCAAACAGGAUUAGAUACCCUGGUAGUCCACGCCGUAAACGAUGAGUGCUAAGUGUUGGAGGGUUUCCGCCCUUCAGUGCUGCAGCUAACGCAUUAAGCACUCCGCCUGGGGAGUACGACCGCAAGGUUGAAACUCAAAGGAAUUGACGGGGGCCCGCACAAGCGGUGGAGCAUGUGGUUUAAUUCGAAGCAACGCGAAGAACCUUACCAGGUCUUGACAUCCUUUGACCACUCUAGAGAUAGAGCUUCCCCUUCGGGGGCAAAGUGACAGGUGGUGCAUGGUUGUCGUCAGCUCGUGUCGUGAGAUGUUGGGUUAAGUCCCGCAACGAGCGCAACCCUUAUUGUUAGUUGCCAUCAUUCAGUUGGCCACUCUAGCAAGACUGCCGGUGACAAACCGGAGGAAGGUGGGGAUGACGUCAAAUCAUCAUGCCCCUUAU
This 1151-nucleotide ribosomal RNA is filed under the name Enterococcus faecium. RNAcentral's name for it is "bacterial SSU rRNA". It matches the Rfam family "Bacterial small subunit ribosomal RNA", at positions 74 to 1205 of the family's 1533-position model. The record is from RNAcentral. Lineage: Bacteria; Bacillati; Bacillota; Bacilli; Lactobacillales; Enterococcaceae.